ACCGCGGUUAUACGAGAGGCUCAAGUUGACAGACAACGGCGUAAAGAGUGGUUAGGGAAACUUUUAAAAAUAAAGCCGAACGUCCUCAGAGCUGUUUAACGCUUCCGAGUUAAGAAGAUCUUUUACGAAAGUAGCUUUACCAAACCUGACCCCACGAAAGCUGUGAAACAAACUGGGAUUAGAUACCCCACUAUGCUCAGCCCUAAAAUUCGAUAGGUCACUACGCCCCCUAUCCGCCCGGGUACUACGAGCAUCAGCUUGAAACCCAAAGGACUUGGCGGUGCUUCACAUCCGUCUAGAGGAGCCUGUUCUAUAACCGAUACCCCCCGUUAAACCUCACCCUCCCUUGUUAAUCCCGCCUAUAUACCGCCGUCGUCAGCCUACCCUGUGAAGGACUAGAAGUGAGCAAGAUUGGUAAGACCCAAAACGUCAGGUCGAGGUGUAGUAUAUGAGAGGGGAAGAAAUGGGCUACAUUUCCUAAAUCAGGAAAUACGAACAAUGAACUGAAAUAUGCAUUAGAAGGUGGAUUUAGCAGUAAGCAGAGAAACAGAGUGUUCUGCUGAAAUUUAUGGCAAUAAAGCACGUACACACCGCCCGU
This 598-nucleotide ribosomal RNA is filed under the name Pomacentrus baenschi (Baensch's damsel). RNAcentral's name for it is "partial small subunit ribosomal RNA". It matches the Rfam family "Bacterial small subunit ribosomal RNA", at positions 514 to 1397 of the family's 1533-position model. Lineage: Eukaryota; Metazoa; Chordata; Actinopteri; Pomacentridae. The record is from RNAcentral.